Mercenaria mercenaria is the source of this 1336-nucleotide long non-coding RNA. RefSeq lists it as uncharacterized. The record is from RefSeq and is a predicted model, not a curated record. The transcript is spliced from 4 exons. Lineage: Eukaryota; Metazoa; Mollusca; Bivalvia; Venerida; Veneridae.
CCCAAUUGAAACUUCAAUUUACUGUAGUCAUCAUCAGAUGUGAAAAGAGGUUUUCUGUUCCGCCUUAACUAAAAUCGACUUUGACAGAAAUUCUCAGUUUGGUAUACUUUAUCAGUUUUAACUCUUUUGCCUAAAAAUAUAUGUUGUCCAUUCAAAAAUAAUUUACCAGAAUAUACAUCCAGCUGGUCAAAAUAGCGAAAGAGCACCGUAAAGACAGUGGGUACUCACUAGUUCUCUUUUACAAUUUAGCGACGUAAAGUAGCAAAGCAGAAUGUAAGUGAAUCGGAAGCUCGGGGUCAUUGUGGAAAUGUUGUGAACAACUCUCACGUUGUGUCGGAACUUUCUGAUUCUAUACCAGGUGGAGGUGUAGAUGCAGUUCUAGAACAAUGCAUUUUUGACGUAAUGGUAGGUGAUGAUUUAUCUCUUGCUGAUGUACAUGUUGAUGCGUUGAACACAGUUGCUCAAGCAACACUCAUACGUGACCCGGUGUAUACUGCUAACAAUACAGACAAAGUUGAAAUUUUCAUUAAAAACUCGUGCCCUGUAAACUGCAGUCAAAAUGGAAAAUGUUCAGAUCAAGGUGAUUGCGAAUGUGAUGACCACUACAAUGGUGCCGAUUGUAGUAUAGAUGAACGUGAUCCAGUUACUAUUGACGACCUGGAGGGAUGAGGAUUGUGUAAUCUUACCGACGGUGAUGGUUGUGACUGUUUCGUUUUGAGGACAGCCUAUCUCUUGCCAAACUUUACAUGUGCGAUUUCCGGUGUAAUAACAUACAUAGAUGGCACAGAGGAAAAUAUAACUGAAACUGCAAACGCUGGGGAAUAUGAAAACAUAUUUACUGGCCAAUGUUGCGCACCUGUGGAAAGAAAUAAACGUUCAACAUCACAAAAUAUUGUAUUUUCUACUAGAUAGGACAUUACAAUCAGUAAUGACGGAAACCAUUUUGGUUCAGCCGAACCUCUUCACGUUUUUGAUUUCGAGUGUUAAGAUGCUUUGCCUGAUAGUGACAAUGGCCAUCGUAUUGUUCUCAAGGUAACACACCUGUAAACUGUACAGGUCUGUCUAAUAUUAUUACUACUUAGCAAAUACCUCAUACUUUUGUGACACUUCUUUUACGGUUGUUAUUAUCACAUUAAAGGCACAAACUGUUGUUUCAAAAGAAAUUAGCUAUUGUUUAUAAGAUGAGUUGCAGUAUUAAAAUGACCCGAGUUGAUUUUAUUCAUCGACCUUGGAAUUUGUUGCCAUUUCAAGAAAUCUAUAGCAAUGUCUAUUACAAAACAUGCUUGUAAAGAUAAUAUUUGUCCUUAAUUAUGAUUGUAGUUCAGCCGAUAUAUGG